AACGUAGGACGCAAGCGUUAUCCGGAUUUACUGGGCGUAAAGCGCGUGCAGGCGGUUGCUCAAGUCUGAUGUGAAAUCUCCUCGCUCAACGGGGAGCAGCCAUUGGAAACUGGGCAACUGGAGUCUGGCAGAGGUAGGCGGAAUUCCGGGUGGAGUGGUGAAAUGCGUAGAGAUCCGGAGGAACACCAGAGGCGAAGGCGGCCUACUGGGCCAGUACUGACGCUGAGCCGCGAAAGCGUGGGGAGCGAACAGG
RNAcentral lists this ribosomal RNA (253 nucleotides) under uncultured bacterium. RNAcentral's name for it is "partial 16S ribosomal RNA". It matches the Rfam family "Bacterial small subunit ribosomal RNA", at positions 524 to 776 of the family's 1533-position model. The record is from RNAcentral.